GAUUAACGCUGGCGGCGUGCAUAACACAUGCAAGUCGAACGAGUGGCGGACGGGUGAGUAAUGUAUGGGGAUCUGCCUGAUGGCGGGGGAUAACUACUGGAAACGGUAGCUAAUACCGCAUACCAUCAGAUGAACCCAUAUGGGAUUAGCUAGUAGGUGAGGUAACGGCUUACCUAGGCGACGAUCCCUAGCUGGUCUGGGAGGAUGAUCAGCCACACUGGGACUGAGACACGGCCCAGACUCCUACGGGAGGCAGCAGUGGGGAAUAUUGCACAAUGGGCGCAAGCCUGAUGCAGCUAUGCCGCGUGUAUGAAGAAGGCCUUCGGGUUGUAAAGUACUUUCAGUCGGGAGGCGUUACCGACAGAAGAAGCACCAGCUAACUCCGUGCCAGCAGCCGCGGUAAUAC
Molecule: ribosomal RNA, 406 nt
Filed under: uncultured bacterium
Lineage: Bacteria
Description: partial 16S ribosomal RNA
Rfam family: Bacterial small subunit ribosomal RNA
Source: RNAcentral